RNAcentral lists this transfer RNA (73 nucleotides) under Felis catus (domestic cat). It matches the Rfam family "tRNA". From Rfam's summary of the family: Transfer RNA (tRNA) molecules are approximately 80 nucleotides in length. Their secondary structure includes four short double-helical elements and three loops (D, anti-codon, and T loops). Lineage: Eukaryota; Metazoa; Chordata; Mammalia; Carnivora; Felidae. The record is from Rfam by way of RNAcentral.
ACCUGGCUGGCUCAGUCAGUAGAGCUCAUGAUUCUUGAUCUUGGGGUAGUGAGUUCGAGCCCCACGUUGGGUG